GCCGGGCGUGGUGGCUCACGCCUGUAAUCCCAGCACUUUGGGAGGCCGAGGCAGGCGGAUCACCUGAGGUUGGGAGUUCAAGACCAGCCUGACCAACAUGGAGAAACCCUGUCUCUA
RNAcentral lists this small RNA (117 nucleotides) under Papio anubis (olive baboon). RNAcentral describes it as "Metazoan signal recognition particle RNA (ENSPANG00000041766.1)". Lineage: Eukaryota; Metazoa; Chordata; Mammalia; Primates; Cercopithecidae. The record is from Rfam by way of RNAcentral.